This 320-nucleotide long non-coding RNA is filed under the name Nicotiana benthamiana. RNAcentral's name for it is "long non-coding RNA (NBEN_LNC002983)". The record is from RNAcentral. Lineage: Eukaryota; Viridiplantae; Streptophyta; Magnoliopsida; Solanales; Solanaceae.
CGUACAUGAAAGAAGAAAAACAUAAUUUCUAGCUAAGUUUCAAGGUUAGAAGCAAGCAGCAACAAUCAAUCAACAAAAUCCCUGAAUCUCAGCUCUAAAACCAGAAUUGAUACGCAACAGACCCAAAAGGAACAAUUCCACUCGAGUAAAGCCAACAUAUUCAAAAUCAAACGUUUGAAACCAACACUUGAAUCAUUGUCAAUUCCCAUAAUGAAGCACUAUAUUUUCAGGCAGAAAACUCAGUGAAUUCAAUGAAAUAGUAGAUUUUCACUUUUCUUUUGUAUUUUUUCUGAAAUCUGACUUCUAAUACUCUCUUUUUC